GAACACCAGCAUCUGCUGCCGCCCUGAAUCAGCGUUAGCAUGUGGAGGCAACCUCAGCCCCCAGUUUUUGAAGAAGGUGAUUCAGAUUCAGACACAGGAAUUAUGGUGACGGUAGAAAUGGACUGGAAGGUUCGUUCCCCUUGCCCACCAAGACUCCAGAGCAGUUUCUUUCAGGGUGGAAACAGUCCCAACCUAGAAAGCUGAUCAGAAGACUCCCACCCACAUACCAGCAAUUGGUAUCUGCAUGGCUACGUACGCAGCUUCCUCUGAAUCCAGAUUUUCGUCUAGACUUUCAUCAGGAAGACAUAAGAUUUAUGGCUCCAGAUAGUACUAAUACCUCGUCCAACAUCACAAGCAGAGGCCUUCAACUGGGGGCCGUGACUACAAAGAGGGACCGUUCACAGACUGGCAACGAACCCAGAACGUAUACACCGAAAUCGUGUGCAGGGUGCUACUGUUUUGGGAGAAGAGCCGUAGCUUCUGUCUCAUCAUGGAGGAGGCGCCUGGCCUGGGAAAGGCCAUAUUGUCAAGUGGGAGGAGGAAGAGGCGCAGCCCCGUGUGGUGUGCGUGCUCAUCAGAGAAGCCAGCACAGACACUGGGACCCACUCGCGUCACCAAGAGCCAACCCCUCUUCAGGGUGAGUAAAGGAAAGAGCUUUCAUUGGAGGAAUGUGAAUACUUUUCAGUUAUCCAGCCCAGAGACACUGAAAGGAGACGGCAGUCCCGUCCUCCCCUUCUCUGGGUUGUGCUCAUCUCUCGAAACUACCUGCUUUUGCCACCAGCAGCUAAGCUAUAAAUUCCCUCAAUCACACCCCAUCCGAGACUACAGCCCGCACCCUAGAGCUUAACAAUGGAGAGCCAAUCGCCCAUCAAUGCCAUUUCUGUAAGCCUAUGAGAAUUCCUGGCAAACAACUUUGUAUCACCCCA
This is a long non-coding RNA of Homo sapiens (human), 926 nucleotides long. NCBI's taxonomy places the organism in Eukaryota, Metazoa, Chordata, Mammalia, Primates, Hominidae. The record is from Ensembl.